Paramormyrops kingsleyae is the source of this 493-nucleotide long non-coding RNA. RefSeq lists it as uncharacterized. The record is from RefSeq and is a predicted model, not a curated record. Lineage: Eukaryota; Metazoa; Chordata; Actinopteri; Osteoglossiformes; Mormyridae.
GGUCUGGCUGCAGACAUCCACUGAGGCUCACGUCCACUGAGACGCAGGAAAUCCACUGAGCGCCCGGAAAUGACGUCACGCAUAAAGUUUGGUGGAUACUCACGAGCAUUAGCAGCGCGUCCAUUGUUUAGCAAGACAUUGGCGAAGGAAAGUAGAACGAUGCACAGGUCAAUUUGGCGAAGGAAUGCCGUGCCUCAGUUAGCAAGAUGUGCUAACUGUUGCAAUAGUUUCCAUUGCCCUUUGUGCCCAGUAACGAUGUUUAAACCGACAACGUUACUGCGAGCCCGGGUGCAUUUAGAUUCACACGCAAAGAAUGGAAUUUCAUUCCAAGAAUUCAUAAUAAAUAGGUGCAACCUUGGCUGCAGGCAUGCUGGCCAUUACCACUGUCCCUUUUGCUCAAAGACAAUUAUUCGGAAAGAUGCAACACUGGAGCAUUUGAAAAUUUGCCAAACAACCACAUCAGAUGCAUCUUUACCCUCACCUAUCAAGAUCA